This 254-nucleotide unclassified non-coding RNA is filed under the name Hevea brasiliensis (rubber tree). The record is from RNAcentral. Lineage: Eukaryota; Viridiplantae; Streptophyta; Magnoliopsida; Malpighiales; Euphorbiaceae.
GAGAGAUGCUAUGCCGUAAAAAGAACAUGUUGAAUGAGCCAUUAACAAUGGUCUCCUCUAUCUCUAUUCUUACACCAGGUUGAGCUCUCUCCUUCAUCAUUUCCAACUGUGUCUUAAUAUAUUGCGCCGCUAGUCUCAGACCUUGACGCCCUUGCUGGCGACCUCCGAUAUCCUUUGAUAAGAUGCGGACAUGCUCAAUAGCUCUGGCCUCAGAGAAGCGAUCAGGAGGAGCGUCCAUGGGAAGAGGUGUGAUG